Elusimicrobium minutum Pei191 is the source of this 345-nucleotide non-coding RNA. It matches the Rfam family "Bacterial RNase P class A". Rfam says of the family: Ribonuclease P (RNase P) is a ubiquitous endoribonuclease, found in archaea, bacteria and eukarya as well as chloroplasts and mitochondria. Its best characterised activity is the generation of mature 5'-ends of tRNAs by cleaving the 5'-leader elements of precursor-tRNAs. The record is from Rfam. Lineage: Bacteria; Pseudomonadati; Elusimicrobiota; Elusimicrobia; Elusimicrobiales; Elusimicrobiaceae.
UUUGGCAAUUAAAAGGCCGCUGUAAUGUUAAUAUUAUAGAGGAACUUCCGAACUCCACAGGGCACCGCGCCGCUUGAAAGGGCGGGGGUUUGGGCUAAAAUCCAAACCACGGAAAGUGCAACAGAAAGUAUACCGCCGCAAGCUUGCUUACGGUAAGGGUGAAAGGGUGUGGUAAGAGCGCACCGCAUCAGCGGCAACGCUGAUGGCUAUGCAAACCCCGCAGGGAGCAAGGCCAAAUUUGUGCAUAUGCUGCCCGCAUCAGACACAGAGUAGGCCGCUUAGAGAAAUGGUCUUUAUCCGAGGUUCGCCGAGGAAACAGAAUUCGGGGUAUUAUUGCCAAACAAA